This 1970-nucleotide ribosomal RNA is filed under the name human gut metagenome. Its description in RNAcentral is "bacterial LSU rRNA". It matches the Rfam family "Bacterial large subunit ribosomal RNA", at positions 1 to 1977 of the family's 2925-position model. The record is from RNAcentral.
GAAAGUAAGAAAGGGCGUAUGGCGGAUGCCUAGGCUCACGGAGGCGAUGAAGGACGUGAUAAGCUGCGAUAAGCUUCGGGUAGGUGCAAAUAACCCUUGAUCCGGAGAUUUCCGAAUGGGACAACCUAGCCGUCUGAAGGACGGUUACUCUUACCAAUGUAAGAGAGCUAACGCAGGGAACUGAAACAUCUUAGUACCUGCAGGAAGAGAAAAUAAAUGAAUGAUUCCCCCAGUAGUGGCGAGCGAACGGGGAACAGCCCAAACCGUUGACGUCGCAAGGCGCCAGCGGGGUUGUAGGACCGCGACAUUGUAUGCAAAUCGUGAACAGAACACUUUGGAAAAUGUGACCAUAGACGGUGAUAGUCCAGUAUGUGAAGCGAAAUGCAGCAUAGCGGUAUCCUGAGUAACGCGGGACACGAGGAAUCCUGCGCGAAUCUGCCGGGACCAUCCGGUAAGGCUAAAUACUCCCGUGAGACCGAUAGCGAACGAGUACUGUGAAGGAAAGGUGAAAAGAACCCCGAGCAGGGGAGUGAAAUAGUUCCUGAAACCAUACGCCUACAAGCGGUCGGAGCAUCGCAAGAUGUGACGGCGUGCCUUUUGCAUAAUGAUCCUACGAGUUACCGUCACUGGCGAGGUUGAGUGUCAUGAGACACGUAGCCGCAGUGAAAGCGAGCCUGAAUAGGGCGCACAGUCAGUGGGGGUAGACGCGAAACCAAGUGAUCUACACUUGGCCAGGAUGAAGUCCCGGUAACACGGGAUGGAGGUCCGCACCAAUAAGCGUUGAAAAGCUUCUGGAUGAGCCGAGUGUAGGAGUGAAAGGCCAAUCAAACUUGGAGAUAGCUCGUACUCCCCGAAAGGCAUUUAGGUGCCGCGUCGGAUGGUCACCGUGAGAGGUAGAGCGACCGAUAGGACAAGAGGGCUUCACCGCCUAUCGAGUCCUGACGAACUCCGAAUGCUCACGGUCUGCAGUCCGGCAGUAAGGGGGCGGGUGCUAAGGUCCGUCCCCGAGAGGAGAAGAAUCCAGACCGCCGUCUAAGGUCCCGGAGUUCUGCCUGAGUUAGUCUAACGAAGUCUGGUCCCUAUGACAGCUAGGAUGUUGGCUUGGAAGCAGCCAUUCAUUCAAAGAGUGCGUAACAGCUCACUAGUCGAGGGUCCGGGCAUGGAUAAUAAUCGGGUAUAAGGCAGACACCGAAGGCGCGGGAUAGCAAUUAUAAAAGUAUCGGUAGGGGAGCAUACUCACAGCGUCGAAUGGUGUACGUAAGUUAUCCUGGAGCGGUGAGUAAAGCAAAUGUAGGAAUAAGUAACGAUAAGGAGGGUUAGAUUCCCUCCCGCUGUAAGACCAAGGUUUCCCGGGCAAUGCCAAUCAGCCCGGGGUCAGUCGGGUCCUAAGUCUAAGCCGAACGGCGAUGGCGAUGGCAGAGACGGUUAAUAUUCCGUCACUGCCGCAUGGGGCGACGUGGAGACGGAGCAGUGAAACCACCGCGGGGCGACGGAAGUCCCCGUUGAAGGGUGUAGGCGUUGAGGAAGGCAGGCAAAUCCACCUUCCGAGCUGAACCUGAUAGUACGGAGUCCUCCUCGGAGGAAUCUGAUAGUGUGGGUAAUCAUACUCCCGAGAAAAUCCGCUAAGCUUAACCCAUGCGGCACCCGUACCGCAAACGGACACACGUGGUCGGGUAGAACAUACUAAGGCGUUGAGAGAUUCAUGGUUAAGGAACUAGGCAAAUUGACCCUGUAACUUCGGGAUAAAGGGUCCUCGUGAUGAGCGAGGCGCAGAGAAUAGGUCCAGGCAACUGUUUAACAAAAACACAGGGCUGUGCAAACUCGAAAGAUGACGUAUACAGCCUGACACCUGCCCGGUGCCGGAAGGUUAAGAGGAGAUGUCACUCGCAAGAGGAAGCAUUGAAUUGAAGCCCCGGUAAACGGCGGCCGUAACUAUAACGGUCCUAAGGUAGCGAAAUUCCUUGUCGGGU